Long non-coding RNA from Polistes dominula (European paper wasp), 497 nucleotides. The record is from RefSeq and is a predicted model, not a curated record. Lineage: Eukaryota; Metazoa; Arthropoda; Insecta; Hymenoptera; Vespidae.
UGUUCCAUUGCUAGGCGAAGUUCGUAGUUGAUACUUAUUGCUGUUACGCGCAAUUCUGUCAAAUAUUAUAAUAAAUUUAUUACCGAGAGAUACCUGACAAGACCAUCUGGGGUCUGGGAAAUUCUGACAUUGUUGAUGAUCCAGUUUUCAACACCUUCAUCUGUCAUCCAAUAUUGAGCAGCUCCAAGUGCUGUGAUUGCUUCUUGAAAGCACGACGAUCCAUGUCGCGAGCCAGAAUAAAAAACGCUUAAGGAAAAGUCCUAAAAUGGUGUCGAAAUGAAGUGUAAUCGGAUAUAAUUACAAUCUUCACUUGUUAACAAGAUUGUGAAUCUAUUAUACUUGACUCAUAUCCGAAAACGAGUCAGUAGUAGUUCUGGUUCCUGCUGCAUCCACUAAAUAUACAAGAGCACAUUGUUCACAAGUAAAACUGACACCCUUGUACCACAUCUUCGCAUAUCUAAUAGUAUAGGUGGAAAUACAAAUUUGAUUAUAAUGUA